RNAcentral lists this ribosomal RNA (254 nucleotides) under uncultured bacterium. RNAcentral's name for it is "partial 16S ribosomal RNA". It matches the Rfam family "Bacterial small subunit ribosomal RNA", at positions 524 to 777 of the family's 1533-position model. The record is from RNAcentral.
UACGUAGGGCGCAAGCGUUGUCCGGAAUUAUUGGGCGUAAAGAGCUCAUAGGCGGUCUGUCGCGUCGGCUGUGAAAACCCGAGGCUCAACCUCGGGCCUGCAGUCGAUACGGGCAGACUAGAGUGCUGUAGGGGAGACUGGAAUUCCUGGUGUAGCGGUGAAAUGCGCAGAUAUCAGGAGGAACACCGAUGGCGAAGGCAAUCCCCUGGGCCUGCACUGACGCUCAUGCACGAAAGCGUGGGGAGCAAACAGGG